UACGUAGGGUGCGAGCGUUAAUCGGAAUUACUGGGCGUAAAGCGUGCGCAGGCGGUUUUGUAAGCCAGAUGUGAAAUCCCCGGGCUUAACCUGGGAAUGGCAUUUGGGACUGCAAGGCUGGAGUGUGGCAGAGGAGACUGGAAUUCCUGGUGUAGCAGUGAAAUGCGUAGAUAUCAGGAGGAAUACCGAUGGCGAAGGCAGGUCUCUGGGCUGACACUGACGCUCAUGCACGAAAGCGUGGGGAGCAAACGGG
This 253-nucleotide ribosomal RNA is filed under the name uncultured bacterium. RNAcentral's name for it is "partial 16S ribosomal RNA". It matches the Rfam family "Bacterial small subunit ribosomal RNA", at positions 524 to 776 of the family's 1533-position model. The record is from RNAcentral.